AUUGAACGCUGGCGGCAUGCCUUACACAUGCAAGUCGAACGGUAACAGGUCUUCGGAUGCUGACGAGUGGCGAACGGGUGAGUAAUACAUCGGAACGUGCCUAGUAGUGGGGGAUAACUACUCGAAAGAGUGGCUAAUACCGCAUGAGAUCUACGGAUGAAAGCAGGGGAUCGCAAGACCUUGUGCUACUAGAGCGGCCGAUGGCAGAUUAGGUAGUUGGUGGGAUAAAAGCUUACCAAGCCGACGAUCUGUAGCUGGUCUGAGAGGACGAUCAGCCACACUGGGACUGUGAAACUGCCAAGAGUCCUACGGGAGGCAGCAGUGGGGAAUUUUGGACAAUGGGCGAAAGCAUGAUCCAGCAAUGCCGCGUGCAGGAUGAAGGCCUUCGGGUUGUAAACUGCUUUUGUACGGAACGAAAAGCCCCGGGUUAAUACCCUGGGGUCAUGACGGUACCGUAAGAAUAAGCACCGGCUAACUACGUGCCAGCCGCCGCGGUAA
Molecule: ribosomal RNA, 498 nt
Filed under: uncultured bacterium
Lineage: Bacteria
Description: partial 16S ribosomal RNA
Rfam family: Bacterial small subunit ribosomal RNA
Source: RNAcentral